Molecule: ribosomal RNA, 468 nt
Filed under: uncultured bacterium
Lineage: Bacteria
Description: partial 16S ribosomal RNA
Rfam family: Bacterial small subunit ribosomal RNA
Source: RNAcentral
AAUGAACGCUGGCGGCGUGCUUAACACAUGCAAGUCGAGCGGAAAGGCCGUGCUUUUGCGGGGUGUUCGCGGCGGGAGGGGGAGAGAAACACGUGAGUAUGCUGGCCAUGGCUUUGGAAUGACUGCAGGAAAGUGGUGAUAAUGCCGAAUUGCUGAUGCUGAUAGAUGGGGGGGGUUGGACAGUUUCGGAGGUUGGGGAUGGAUGCGCGGCUUAUCAGCUUGUUGGUUGGGUAGUGGCUUACCAAGGCUUUGACGGGUGGCCGGCCUGAGAGGUUGAGCGGCCACAUUGGUACUGAGAUACGGCCCAGACUCCUACGUGAGGCAGCAGUGGGGAAUAUUGCACAAUGGGCGGAAGCCUGAUGCAGCAACGCCGCGUGCGGGAUGACGGCCUUCGGGUUGUAAACCGCUUUCGCCUGUGACGAAGCGUGAGUGACGGUAAUGGGUAAAGAAGCACCGGCUAACUACGUG